AGCGUGAUAAGUAGCUGGUGACUAUAUAGUAAUACAACAAACAAACUGGAAAAGUAGGACGCUGAUAGGAUUUAACUUGAGAUGAGAUAUAGAUCUAACAGUCUUUACCAGUUCAUGUCUCAAGAUCUACCCGCCGUUUCACCUUUGCACUAGCUAGCUGCAUUAAAACGCAACUACUGCUAUAGAAUUGAGCAGUUGGCUGAUGGCGACUUCACAACGAGACACCUGGAGAACACGUUCAAAAGUCACGUGAUACACAUUCAAGACCAUGAGAAAGUCACGUGAUACACAUUCAAGACCAAAAGAAAAGUCACGUGAUACACACUCAAGACCAAAAGAAAAGUCACGUGAUACACAUUCAAGACCAAAAGAAAAGUCACGUGAUACACACUCUCAAGACUAAAAGAAAAGUCACGUGAUACACAUUCAAGACCAAAUGAAAAGUCACGUGAUACACAUUCAAUACCAAAAAGAAAAGAACAUCUAAAUCGAAUACCGGAGGACAAUGAUUAUGCCUGCGCUAGAUGGGGCAAAGUAUGUAAGUCGCAACUUGGGCUACGUAGCCACGGAAAAUACUGAAUUCCUCAUUAAUCCUCGAACUCAAGGGCAAGCCUUAUUUUUAUUAUCAAACAAUGAAACAGAAAAAAAAAAAAAAAAAAACAGAAAAUUUAGAUCGCGUUUAGAAAACCAACUAUACGUUACUAUCUUAAAAUUCAGACGAAAGAAUAUUCGAUACAUUUAGUUACUACCUACAUGUCAUUUAUUGAAAAUGUGUUUGUUAUUGAAAUAAAAAAUUUAGACUAGACUUA
Biomphalaria glabrata is the source of this 809-nucleotide long non-coding RNA. RefSeq lists it as uncharacterized. The record is from RefSeq and is a predicted model, not a curated record. The transcript has 3 exons. Lineage: Eukaryota; Metazoa; Mollusca; Gastropoda; Planorbidae.